AAGUUACUAAGGGCGUAUGGGGGAUGCCUUGGCUCUCAGAGGCGAAGAAGGACGUGAUAAGCUGCGAUAAGCCACGGGGAUCAGCACAUAUGAAUUGAUCCGUGGAUUUCCGAAUGGGGCAACCCGGUAUAUUGAAGAUAUACCAUCCCGACUUGUCGGGAGGCAAACCCGGAGAACUGAAACAUCUAAGUACCCGGAGGAAGAGAAAACAAAUAGUGAUUCCGUUAGUAGUGGCGAGCGAACGCGGAGAAGCCCAAACCAUGGCAGUUACGGCUGCUGUGGGGUUGUAGGACUGCGACAUCCGAUCAAAAAUGAACGAGAAUGCACUGGGAAGUGCAGCCAAAGAGGGUGACAGCCCCGUAUUGGUAAGUUUUUGUGAGGUAGCAGUAUCCUGAGUAGGGCGGGGCAGGUGAAACCCCGUCUGAACCAGCCGGCACCAUCCGGUAAGGCUAAAUACUCCUGAGAGACCGAUAGCGAACAAGUACCGUGAGGGAAAGGUGAAAAGUACCCUGAAUAAGGGGGUGAAAUAGAACCUGAAACCAUACGCCUACAAGCGGUUGGAGCCCUGUAAUAGGGUGACAGCGUGCCUUUUGCAUAAUGAGCCUACGAGUUGCUCCUCACUGGCAAGGUUAAUCCCGUAGACGGGAGCAGCCGGAGCGAAAGCGAGUCUGAAUAGGGCGCUUAAGUCAGUGGGGGCAGACGCGAAACCUUGUGAUCUACCCAUGGCCAGGUUGAAGUGUCGGUAACACGACAUGGAGGACCGAACCAGUUGACGUUGAAAAGUCUUUGGAUGAGCUGUGGGUAGGGGUGAAAGGCCAAUCAAACUGGGAAAUAGCUCGUACUCCCCGAAAUGCUUUUAGGAGCAGCGUGGAGGUUAAGUCUGUCAGAGGUAGAGCUACCGAUAGGACUAGGGGGAGUCAAAUCCUACCAAAUCCUGACGAACUCCGAAUGCUGACAGAUAUACUCUGCAGUGAGGGCAAGGGUGCUAAGGUCCUUGUCCGAGAGGGAAAGAACCCAGACCUUCAGCUAAGGUCCCUAAAUCUAUACUAAGUUGAACUAAGGCGGUCCAGUUGCUUAGACAGCCAGGAUGUUGGCUUGGAAGCAGCCAUUCAUUUAAAGAGUGCGUAACAGCUCACUGGUCGAGCGACAGGGCAUCGAUGAUGAUCGGGCAUCAAGUAUAGUACCGAAGCUAAGGCAUUCCGAUUAUUCGGAAUGGGUAGGGGAGCAUUCUAUAGGCGGAGAAGCCGUUUGGUAACGGGCGGUGGAGCGUAUAGAAAAGCAAAUGUAGGCAUAAGUAACGAUAAGGCGGGUGAGAAACCCGCCCACCGAUAGACUAAGGUUUCCUGAUCAACGCUAAUCGGAUCAGGGUUAGUCGGGACCUAAGGCGAACCCGAAGGGGGUAGUCGAUGGACAAUUGGUUAAUAUUCCAAUACUACCGUAUGCAGCGAUGGGGUGACGGAGUAGUGAAAGAUCCGCGUACUGACGGAAUAGUACGUUAAAGGGAGUAGGUAUUGGCUUGGUAGGCAAAUCCGCCAGGCUAGCUGAACCUGAUAGUACCACAAUGCUUCGGCAGCGUGGAUAGUGAUCCUAAUCAGACUUCCAAGAAAAACCUCUAAGUAAUGUAUAUGGUACCCGUACCGUAAACCGACACAGGUAGUCAAGGAGAGAAUCCUAAGGUGCUCGAGUGAUCCGUGGCUAAGGAACUAGGCAAAAUGGCCCUGUAACUUCGGGAGAAGGGGCGCCUCCUCUGCAAAGAGAGGCCGCAGUGAAAAGGCCCAGGCGACUGUUUAGCAAAAACACAUGGCUUUGCGAAAUCGAAAGAUAAAGUAUAAGGCCUGACACCUGCCCGGUGCUGGAAGGUUAAGGGGGGAUGUUAUCCGUAAGGAGAAGCAUUGAACUGAAGCCCCAGUAAACGGCGGCCGUAACUAUAACGGUCCUAAGGUAGCGAAAUUCCUUGUCGGGUAAGUUCCGACCUGCACGAAUGGUGUAACGAUCUGGGCACUGUCUCAGCCACGAGCUCGGUGAAAUUGUAGUAGCGGUGAAGAUGCCGCUUACCCGCAACGGGACGAAAAGACCCCAUGAACCUUUACUAUAGCUUCACAUUGGCAUUGGGUAAAUGAUGUGUAGGAUAGGCGGGAGACUUCGAAGCUGUGUCGCCAGGCAUGGUGGAGUCGUUGGUGAAAUACCGCCCUUUAUUUAUUCGGUGCCUAAUCCGUCAGCAGACGGAGACAGUGUGUGGUGGGUAGUUUGACUGGGGUGGUCGCCUCCAAAAGAGUAACGGAGGCUUUCAAAGGUACCCUCAGUACGCUUGGUAACCGUACGCAGAGCGCAAUAGCAUAAGGGUGCUUGACUGUGAGGCCUACAAGCCGAUCAGGGUCGAAAGACGGAUAUAGUGAUCCGGUGGUUCCGCAUGGAAGGGCCAUCGCUCAAAGGAUAAAAGGUACUCUGGGGAUAACAGGCUGAUCUCCCCCAAGAGCUCACAUCGACGGGGAGGUUUGGCACCUCGAUGUCGGCUCGUCACAUCCUGGGGCUGGAGAAGGUCCCAAGGGUUGGGCUGUUCGCCCAUUAAAGUGGCACGCGAGCUGGGUUCAGAACGUCGUGAGACAGUUCGGUCUCUAUCUGUUGUGGGCGUUGGAAGUUUGAGGGGACCUGACCUUAGUACGAGAGGACCGGGUUGGACUGACCGCUGGUGUACCAGUUGUGCCGCCAGGUGCAUUGCUGGGUAGCUACGUCAGGAAGAGAUAAGCGCUGAAAGCAUCUAAGUGCGAAACUCCCCCCAAGAUGAGACUUCCUUUAAGGGACGUCAGAGAUGAUGACGUUGAUAGGCUGCAGGUGCAAGGGCAGGAAUGUCAGAGCCGAGCAGUACUAAUUACCCGUAAACUUU
Molecule: ribosomal RNA, 2884 nt
Filed under: Roseivirga thermotolerans
Lineage: Bacteria; Pseudomonadati; Bacteroidota; Cytophagia; Cytophagales; Roseivirgaceae
Description: 23S ribosomal RNA
Rfam family: Bacterial large subunit ribosomal RNA
Source: RNAcentral